AUGAGUUGAUCGACUAGUUCCGUAGGUGAACCUGCGGAAGGAUCAUU
RNAcentral lists this ribosomal RNA (47 nucleotides) under Megalospora tuberculosa. RNAcentral describes it as "partial 18S ribosomal RNA". Lineage: Eukaryota; Fungi; Ascomycota; Lecanoromycetes; Teloschistales; Megalosporaceae. The record is from RNAcentral.